RNAcentral lists this long non-coding RNA (10407 nucleotides) under Lynx pardinus (Iberian lynx). The record is from RNAcentral. Lineage: Eukaryota; Metazoa; Chordata; Mammalia; Carnivora; Felidae.
UGUAUGAAAGGAGAGAAGCAGCUAUAAAUCAGAAGGAAGGUAGAAAACAUAUUUACUAGGGUCUGUCUUUGCUUGUAGUUCUCUGGCUUGAUUGAGGAGGUUCUCGCUCUCAUCCUUAUGGUAAAUAAUUUGAGUAUCAAUCCCACUCACAGCCUACAAAGGAAUUGUAUGGAAAGAAUAAGAAUGACAGCAGAAGAAAUCCACUUCUCAUGGAUUGAAGAUUUAAAUGACACCGUUUCUCUGCUAAACACCAAGCAAGACUCGUACAACUUCAUUUCCAUAGCUCAAAAUCAAAGUCAAAUGUGAACAGGAAAAGAUAAAGUGCAUGACGUUUUCACGGUAAACAUUUUUCAAGGAAAAUUCAGUAAAUCUAGAACAGUGCCUGGUCAAGUCCCCUCUGAAGUACUUGUCAAAUAGAAGCCACUCAAUAAAUAGUUUUUGAGUUGAAAAAAUGUGAAUGUGUGCAUAAAGCAACUUCUCUAUCAGCAUGGAGUAAUCUUAAAUAUGGUUUAUUCAGGGACUGUGGUUUAAAAAUGCUGUCAAAAAGACACUGGCAUUUGCUGACAGGAGUAUGGCACAUCUUGAACUACUGAAACCUUCAUAACACAAAUAAAAUGCUGUUUUCUUAGUUUUCUUGACCUUUCUGCCAUUCGUAUUACACUGGAAGCUCAAGAGAUGACAUUAGAAAACAGAAAACUCAUAAGCUGGGAGACGGCAGCAUGUAAAUGAACUUUAAAAUAAGGGAAUACUCGGUGUGUGUGUGUGUGUGUGUGUGUACACCUGGCUGGCUCUGUUGGUGGAGUGUGGGACUCUGUCUUGGAGUUGUGAGUUCUAGCCCCAUGUUGGGUGUAGAGAUUACUUCAAAACAAAAUCUUAAAAAAAUAAGGGAACACUCACAUCAUAAAUCCGGUCAGUGAUGUUCAAAGCCAAUUCUGCUGUGUCAUUGGCUUCGCUAACAUAAUUGGCAAUAUUUUCAUAGACAUUUGAAGCGUCCAAAGCCUUCUGUACCAGCCCGUUCAUAUCUGAACUGUGCAAAUUCCUGUAAAAGAAGAAACUCGUCCUUUUUCUCUUUCUUACUUUUUUGGGAAAUGGGACCAUUGUUAUGGCUUGAUUGGAAUAUUUCCGGGACCACAGGGACCUCCUUCCUGUUAUUUAAAGUCACUUGGCUUGGAAAGGUUUUCCUGAGCUGCCUUUCCUAGGAGCACAUCUUCUUUGCUUUCCUCUGCCUUUGGUGCCCCUAAGACUUUACCCCAUUUUGGCUUCAUGGAAGCUGUUUGCCUGGCAGUGGCCACAGGAAAAAAGAAAGAUGAUUUAAAUCAGCCCUCUGCACCUCUUCAAGCAACGGCUUCUUUAUGUUGUGGCAGUCAGGCAGAGGAAUGAACCCACAGUCCUCCCUCACCUACUUACCCAAAUCAGCAUUGUUACUUUCUACCCAUAGAAGAAACCAAGGCUCUCAGAGAGGGUGCAUAGCCACAGCGUGGUGUUAAGUCUUAGUUGCACUCUACUUACUCAACCUUUUGUUCACUUUAUAAAACAUCGUAUUUUCCCUUUAAGAAGGGGAAUGACACAUACUGAGCAUCUAUAUGCAGAUACUGGGCUGGACUUGUUCUAUAUAGUACGUCUUUAAUUCUUAUCACACCCAUGAAGUAGACAUUGUUAUUCCCUUUUUAUAGAAGGAACCAGGAUACAGGUUGUUAUGACUUGUCUCACUCCUACGGCCCAGCUGCUUCUCUGAAGUGCAAAGCCCUUCUCAUGCCCAUUUCCUCCCUCGCCCCAUACACCAUGUUUUCUGCCUUUACCCCUUUCUGGACUCCUUAAGGUUCAUCUAAUAUUUCUUGGGUACCCAUCAUGCAGUGGGCGCUCUCACAUAGUGGCUGAUAACGCUUCAUGUCGCAGAGGAUUGAUAUGAGGUACAACAGGGACAAAAUAUGUGAAAUGCUUGCUACCCUGCCUGUCAUCCAACAAACAUCAGGGUUUAUUAUUAUGCCGGAACUAUUUCUUGAACUGGAAUUUCAAAUUCUAAAUAUAUUCAUAGAAUAAUUCACUUUAUUGACACUUUUUCCUCCAUAAUAUAAGCACCGCUUUACUUCUGCAGCUCAUCCUGAAUCCUGUGUCUCUAUUUUAUUCCGUUUUACUUAUUUAUUUAUUUUUAAAAAGAACUUUAAGUUUUUGAUUUUAUUUGUUUAUUUGAGAGAGAGAGACAGCACGAGUGGAGGAGGGGCAGAGAGAGAAGGAGAGAGAGAGAAUCCCAAGCAAACUCUGUGCUGAUGGUGCAGACCCUGAUGUGGGGCUUGAACUCAUGAAACUGAGAUCCUGGCUUGAACUGAAAUGAAGAGUUGGAUGCUUAAGUGGAGUCUGCUUUUGUUAUUCUGUGCCUCCCUCUCUCUGUGCCCCUUCCCUGCUUGUGGUCUCUCUCUCUCUCAAAAAUAAAUAAACGUUAAAAAUUUAAAAAAAAGAAAAAAGAAAAAUGAAGACAGCCAUAGGAGGGAAUCUCAAAAACAAUGUUAUUCCAAUACAGCACAUUAUCCAAAUAAUAUUUUAUCCAAGCUCCAUUUUAUUGGCUUGAUCAAAAUCACAUUUACUGGAAGCAUGAUGCUAAGGUGGAUACAAUGCCAUUUUGCACAUGAAGAGUUUACAUAACAUCUAUUUCUCCCUCUCUCUCUCUCUCUUUCUCUCCUCUCUUUCCUUCAAUUCUCAGAAGAUUUGGAGGGAUAUUUGAAAAUUUUGACAAUCAGGAAUAAAAAGGUAGUUUAAGUUUUGAACAAGAGUUAAAUUGGUUCUUAUUUUAUCCAUGACCUUUACUGAUCCUUAUUUCUAAUUGCCAGAUUUGUAGUCUUUCUCUAUAAUUAUCUCAUUAUUUACCUAUCAUUUCAAGGUCAUGAAUUCAAUUCCAGACUUUCAGUACAUUUCAGUUAACACUAAUUGAGUGCCCAAAGGGUGUGGGACUCUCUUCUAGAUGCUGUGAGGAAAAUUGGCAAUUGAUUUUCUCUUAAUCAGGUGUUGAAAUCAAACAGUUCCUGCUGGGCACUGUAGAAUGUCCAGAGUAUAUAUCAGAAGUCAGCUGUAUUGCCAACUUCUAACCAGCUUUACUUAAGACCCUUGGGUGUGAAAGCUAAUGCUGUCUGUGAAAUAAAUAUGUGAUGGUGGCAGAAUUAGACCUUGUAGAGGGAUCUAAUUGGGACCUUGUGAAGGGACUUGAUAAUAUUUUGUGCAGCAGUUAUGUCCCUAAUAAAAAUGCCUUAGUUCCCCUAUUAAUAACUGUGGAGCAGAACCACCCCUCACAACACAGGCCUCUAAUCCGACAGAUUUUUUUUUUUUUUAAUAAAAAACUCUCCCUAAAGCAAUUGCAAUAAACAAUGAUUGGCUGGCUCUUAGACCGACCAACUAACAAACCUUCAAAUGAACAAACAAACACAACCCCAAGCCCAAUUUGCGAAUCUGUAUCCCAGUAAUUCUGACAUGUGGAAUUGAAUAAAAAUGAGUUAUUCACCCUAUGUAGUUAUUUGCAUUUCUAAAACCAGGAUAUUACCUGCUCAAUUCAUCAGCCUCUUGUUGAAGGUUCUGGGCAUGGUCGACGGCUUCUUGGACUAAAUCAUGACUAAGGUUACUUAGGUUGGAUAGCUUCCCUUGUAGUUCAUUUUUGGCUCCGUCUAUUUCCGCAUAAAUCCCUGAUGCAUUCUAAAGAAAAUGUUUUAAAAAGUGAAUUGUUGAACAUAGAAGGACUUAAAAUCUUUUUCCCUUGGAGCACCAAAAGAUAAUCUCUAUUCCUCCUUAUCAUGAGGUUUAGUAAAUUUCAGGCCGGGUCUAUACGAGUCUAAAAUACUUCAAGUAGACUUUUAUCUUUUUCUCUUGCAUCUUUAACUCUUUCUCUAUGGAUUGCUUCCCCCACUUUCAGACAUGCUCUGCCUUCUCCCACCUGAAAACAAAACAAAAUGAAGAUAAACCAAAAAAAACCCUCCAUUACCCAUACAUCUCCCCAAUGUUAUUACCUUACUUUUCUAUUCACCGUAUAGUAAAAUAUCGUCAAAAAAGUGUUUAUGUUAGCUGUCUCUAUUUUAUCACUUUUUAACUCACUCUUUAACCCACUCCAGUCUGGUUUUUACUUCACUGCUCCAAAAAAACAGAAAUUAAGCUAAUGAUAUCUAUGUUACUAAAUCUAAUGAGCAUCAUUCAUUUUUCCCAGUCACUCAAAUAGUGAUUCUCGACAUUGUCACCAUUCUUAAGCCAUGAACUUUUCCUUUUUCCAUCUCCAACUGAUUUUAAGCAGAUUACUUUAUUUUCUUUUUUAUUUAGAAGACAUCAACUAACUGUAGCAGGGAUUUUUUUUUUUUUUCUGUACUCCUGAUGUUUCCUCCCUAUGAAGGGAGCUCAGUCACUGAAACCUCAGACCUCUCCACCCCUUUCCUAAUUCUGCUCCUAAGAAAGGGACUGGUUUAUUUGAUUGGUAAAUUUUGGGGGGGAUAACUGUGUAGUCUAUGUUCAACUCUAUGCUCUGCCUCUUGGUAGCAAGCCUGAGUUUUCCUGUGUUUGUCCAUAAUGAAAGUUGUUCUGGGCAGAGCCCCCACGUGAACCUUCCUGCAAUGUUGCCUGUCUGAGCGGGCAGUUCUGCCUAAUUCUGGGAUUGAGUAUUAGCCACCCCACUUGGCUAAGAGACCUAAAGCCAUGUCCUCAUCUUAGCUGCAUCAGAAAUGAAGGUGAUGUUCUUGGGUCUCGUAUUUACGAUUUUAUUUAUUUUUCAACUCACUUAGAACUUGGGAGCUGAUAGAGGGUACUAUUCUCCUCGGAGACUCCAAUACCAACAAAGAAGAAUCACAAACAACUCUUUGCCACCAUCCUUCAGUCCCUUCCCUUCAAAGAAAACCCUAUUAUAGCUACAUUUUUAUGUACAUCUUUCUCAUAUUUUAAGAGGAAAAGUGUUCCUUUUCUGUAUGAGGCAUGCUGCCCUGUUUUCUCUUCUUCUUGCUCCCUAACUAGUGGCUCCUCUCAUGUAUAAACAUGCCCGGUUAACCUCUCCCAUUAAAAACAAACAAACAAAACCUAUUCCUUGACUCUAGCUUCCCCUCCAGCUUCUUUUCUUUGUUGAUUGAGUGCAUUCCACAGAAAUGGUUCUUGCCAAGGUCCCCAGUGUCAGACACCCUAUUGCCAGAUCCAUUUGACACUUUCCUGCUUUAUGUACUGGAUUUAUUUCUGGUUUGUGACGGUGUUAGUCACUGUCGUUCCCCCAAAACUCUCUCUUUCCUUAGCUUCUGUGACACUGUUCUCUCUUGGGUCUCCUUUUUCACUGUCCAGGAAGGAGACUUCAAAAGCUGGUGUUGCUCAGGCUGGACUCAGACCUUUCCUCUAUGAAUAAUCUAAUUUAGCUCUGCCAACCUAGUCUUUCAAGUCUUCUAACCCACUCUGCACCAUCCUACAGGAAUGGCCAUCUUUCUAUUAAGCAAAUCUGCUCAUGUUAUUUUCCCUCUCAAAAUCAGCCAAUUGCGCUGCAGGAACACAUUUGAUUACUCAGGUGGCUUCAUCAACUGAUCCCUCCUCUUUCCAAUCUCAUCAUUUCUCACCCGUCCCCACCCCAUUAUGUACCAUGGUCAAACCUUGAGUAACCGAUGCUUUAAUGCUCCCUGAUUUUUUUCUGGCCGCUCUACCUUUUCACAUAAUAUUUUCUCUAUCCAGGAUAACUUUGCUUUCUUUUUUGUCUGACCCACCUGGAAAAGUUCUAUGAAUCCUUCGAGUUUUAGCUGAAAUAUCACUUCCUUUAUGAAGCUACCCUUAAUUUCUCCAGGAUGAGUUCAGUGUUGUUAUAUAUUUCUACUGUUCAUGUAUCACACUACUAUAAUAAUUUUGCAUGAUUAUUCCACCCACCAGACUACAUAAUUGUGGAAGGCAAGAUUUGUGUCUAAUUUAUUUUUGUAUUCUCAGGAUGUAGCAUAGUUCUUAGCACAAAGGGUUUAUUUCUGUGGAGACAGUAUUAAGUCUCUAGCUAUUUGGUAGAUCAUCUGGGGAACAACUUUGAAGAAAAUUAUAUUUAGUUGUAUAAGCAGAAAGAAUACCAUGGACAUUCCACCUUUACUUAUUAAUUAAUUAAAUAAAUAUUCAGCAUAUCCCCACUGUGUGCCAGGCACUCUUUUAGGAGAUAGAAUGCAUAACUAUGAAUAUAGUCUCUGUUUUCAGGGAAUUUACAACCUAGUGGGAAUAUAUAGAUUAUAGAUAAAUGGUCAAAUAAUUGAACAAGUUAAUUUCAGAGAGUAAAAAGUAUUUUGAAUAAAAUAGUAUGAGUGGGAUGGGUUGGAGAGUGAUUGAAGGUAAAAACACCAUUUGCAUUGAAUGUCACAAGGACGCUAGCCAUUUGAAGAUCUGGAGACAGCAGGUGCAAAGGUCCUGAGGUGAGGAAAAGUGUGGUGUGUUUGAAAAAUAGAGCAGAGUUGGAGGGUGAUAGAGAGGAGUGGACUGGAAGGUAGUGAGUGGGGAAGAGAUACGUGGAUUGAGGUAGAGUGAUGGGUCAGAGUCAGGUCACUUAGGAACCAUGGUAAAAUGACCUUGUUUCUUACUCUAAGUUUCACUGGAGGUUUUUGUGUGGGAGAAAUAAUAUUUUUAAGGGAUUGUUCUGCUACUGAAUGGAGACUGAGUCUUGAGGGGCAAGAGUGGAGGUAAAUGAAUGGGUAGGAGGCUCCUUUGGCAGUUCAUGCUGGAGAGGAGGUAGCCUGGACUGCAGAGUGGAAGCAGCGAAGGGAGUGGUCAGAAACCAGGACUCCUUUUGGAGAUAAGGUCAAUGGGUCUUAUCGAAACGGGAAGGAGGAGAGAGGAGAAAUCAACAAUGACUCUGGAGUUUUGAUUUGAGCAAAUGGGGUUGUGCCGGUUACUGAGGUGGGGAAGAAGCAGGUUUUAUUCAGAAUGUGUUAAGUUUGAUAUGACUAUUACACAUCUAAGUGGUAGAUAAAAUCCCUGAGUUCUUACUGGAAAACUUUAAGUAAGCAUUUGGAUAUGAGUCUGGAACUCAGUGGAAGUAUGAAAGCUGGAGGUAUAAAUUGUGGGGUCAUGCAUAUAAUUGUUCUUUAAAGCCAUGGGAUUCAAUGCAAUCAGCUAGGGAGAAAGGGUAAGUACCAAAGAGGGCCCAGGACUGAGAAUGGAGCCAUUCAUUAUCAAGAGCAGGGAUGGACCAACAGCUCAGGGCUACGUACAGCUCGAGGCCUGUUUCUACACAGCUCCUAGCUAAGGACAUUAUCUAAAUUUUUGGAGAGUUGUAAAAAAUAAAAACAAACAAAAAAUUAAAAAAAAAAACACACAGAAAAAAAGGGAGUGUGGUUAUACGUGGCCUGCAGAGCCUAAAAUAGGUACUACACAGAGGAUGUGCAGAGGUGAAGCUAGCAGAGGAGGCUGGAAAAAAGUCUCCAAUGAGGUGGGAGGGGGACCAGGUGAGGGGGGAGGGUACUGGAGGAGCCAGGAUGAAAACUCUGAGUGUUUAAAUAAGGAGAAAAGGUUAGUCAGCAAGGAGGCUAAGAAUGCUGAGGAGGGAGAAGUAACUGUGGUUUUGGUUAUGUUGAGUUCACUGAUGACGUGGACAAGAACAGUCUCGGUGGAGGGGCGUGAAAUCCCAUUUGGAGUGGGUUGUGUACCGAAGGCAGCAGAUGGCUGGAAAGUGGAUAUGCCAGCUAUAAAUGACUCUCGAGGUGUUUUGCUGUGAAGUUGAGCAGUGUAGAGUAAUGAAUGGGACAGAGAUUAGAGGCAUGCAGGCAAGGGCUUUCUUCUUUUAAAGGAUAGGAGAUACUUACACAUGUUUACAUGUUGGCAGCAAUGGUUCAGUAGAGGGUAAGAAUGGGAUCAAAGAGAAGAGAGAGGGCAUACUUUCAGGGGGAAACCUGUGGCCCCGUUCUUGAGGUGGGGAAGGAUGGGAUUCAGAGCACAGGUGAGGAGAUGAGACUUCAAGAGGAGAAGGGGUACUUCACUAAUUAUAGUAAGAAGGAAGGUAGAUGUGUGCAUAGAAAUGCAGGUGAGCUGGUAGAACUGGGGAGAAAGAUGAGGGAAAUUCUCUUCUCUUUGUUCCUGUUUUUCAGUGAAGCGUGAAGCAAAUUCACCAGCCAGACUGAUAGAAGGGAAGGUGAAUUUUUCACUAUGUUGGCUUCUCUGGUAUGGCCAUGAUGCUGGGGAUACUUGGGUUUACUGGUCUAUGGGGAUAGAAUUCUCAUGUGCGUGCAAUAAGGGAAGAGGUGGAUAAAGAAGUUAAAGCUGUUUUCAAAUAAUGAUUAUACAGUAGCUCCCCCUUCUCUACAGAGAAUAUAUUCCAAGAUCCUCAAUGGGUACCUAAAUCUGUGAAUGGUACCAAACCCUGUAUAUACUAUGUUUUUCCUACGUGUAUAAGCCUAUGAUAAAGUUUAGUUUAUCAGUUAGGCUCAGUAAGAGUGUAAUAAUAAUGAGUAAUAAUAAAAUAGAACAAUUAUAACAAUAUACUCUAAUAAAAAUUGUGAGAAUGUGGUCUCUCUCUAAAAAUGUCUUAUUGUACUGUACUCACCCUUCUUGUGAUGAUGUGAGAUGAUAAAACGUCUAUGUGAUGAGAUGAAUUGAGGUGAAUGAGGUAGGUAUUGUGAUGUAGCAUUAGGCUAUAGGAGGGAUAAGCAGGGUGGGCUGGAGGAAAAGCUUGUUGGGCAGGAGAAGUUAUGGGGGCCGGAGGUCUGAGAGCUGGUGGGCUCAUCCAUCUCGAUUUUGGUGUCACCAAGGAUAGUGAUGGGAGUAGGGAUGGAGAGGAAGACAGGGAGCUUGGCACUGAAACAGUCGAAGAAGAAUGAGAUGGCGAUCAGAUGACUUUAAAAUGGUCUCCUUUCAGUAGCUAGGAGCCACGCGUGGCACUACUGAGCACUUGAAAUAUGGCUAAUUCAAUGGAGGAAUUCCAUUUUAAUUUCUUUCACUUUUAGUCGUUUAAAUUUAAACAGUCAUAUGUGGGUAGUGCCGCCAUGCAAUGAGGGAAACUGAAAACUUCAGUCUCCUGAUCCUACUUCUGUAACUCCAGUUAACUUGACAGAUUUGAAUUGGAUUCCACUGUUGUUCUGUGACAAUGAGACGCUGUUCCGAUCUGUUAUAAAUACAAACCUACAGGCCACAUGCAUCCCUACCUUUAUUAUAUCAUCAAGUUCUGAAAGGGUCAGACGGGGUGUUGUCAGAGAAUCCAAAGACGUCUUCAGAGAAGCAUUCACCCCUUCCAUCUGUUCCCUCACUCUCUCGUGUUGUUUCUGUGGGAAGGAAGCGUAAGAUACAGCAGAAGAGAAGGUCACUGUAGAGAAAGCAUCAGGCAGAAUGGUCAAUGUCACCUCCUGUCUUUGUGCUCAGACAAAUCUAGGUUCCUCUCACGGCCCCAAGACUUAAUUGCUGUAUAACUUUGGGGAAUUCUACUCAUGUCAUGCUCCGUUUUUUCAUUUAUAAUAUGGAGGUAACAAAUGUAAGCACUUUGGGAGCUCUGAAGCACUUAGGUAUGAUUAUUGCUCAAAACACCAUCAUCUCAAGGGGAGUGACCACUUCAGAGAGAGCCUUUGACUUUUUCUCCACAAAUGUAGAAAGUGGGACACUGGAUGCGGGAGUGCACAGAAGCUCUAUAUUCGCACUAAGUGGAAAAAUGAAUUAAUUCAGAAAGGCAUUUCAUGUGCUGACUUUGGGCCAGGCACGGAUAGCUCAUUUGGAUAGUAAUAAAGCAUAUACAAAACAAUCUUACAGUCCUUAAAAAGAUUUUUUUAAAUGGCCCUACUAUGAAAGCAUGAAAUUGUGAUCUUGCUUCUUGGCAUUCUGAGCUCGUAAUGUUAGAUGCUCAGACUUUUUGAGGAGGGAAAAUGGCCCAAGUGUUAAUCUAUUUUUUGAUGAAUGCUUUCAUUUCUACCUUCGCUGUUGGGUUCUAGAAACAGGCAUGUUGUGAUUUUGAAGAAAUAUUAGAUAGCCUCAAAUGAGUCUGGAGUUUGAAAGCAACACAGAAUGAUACUUUAAGAGGGAAAAGUAAAAGACUCAUUUUACAAUCUGAGUAAAAAAUGAGUCAAAGUUACUUUAGAAGUGGUAAUUUGAAUGGAGGUUGAAAUAUAUGACUUAUGGUAUGAUCUAAGAUAUCAUGGGAAUAAUUACAGAAGCCCAGAUAUAGAAGGACACACUUCCUAAAUUCAUCUCAGUGUCUUUCGUGUUCCCUGCAGUCUUUUCUAAUUUAGGGAAGGAAGAUGGAAGCAUCUUCUCCAAACACGUUGCAACAGGGGAAGAUAUAGGUCCAAGGACAGAAAAGAACCCCAUUUGAACAUCUUAAUGCAAGAACCUUCCAAAAUCAAUUUCCCCUCGAAAUCCACCAAGCUUAAUACAGUGUGACUAUCUGGGGUUAAUUAUUCUUGUCUCCACAAGCAGCGGGGGUCACACAGCUCUAUACAAAAGCAGUAUCUUAACAUAAGAGUAUUA